This 789-nucleotide long non-coding RNA is filed under the name Felis catus (domestic cat). RNAcentral's name for it is "lncRNA (ENSFCAG00000053525.1)". The record is from RNAcentral. Lineage: Eukaryota; Metazoa; Chordata; Mammalia; Carnivora; Felidae.
AUGAGUCUGAAGAAUGUUCCAGCUGCAAACCUCAAUGUGGUCAAUGCCAGUGCCUACAGCCAGGGGCUGAGGGAAGGAGGAGGUUGUAAGUGGAGCUGUUGUGUCCCCCACUUGGAAACCCCUCUGAGGAGAGAAGAGAUGGAUCCCGACCCUUCGGUUUCACCUCCUGUGUUUCUCCAACACUCAAGUGGGCUCCACCACCCAAGCCUCUCUGGUGGCUUCAGGAAACCAGCCCGUCCUCUUCGUGUACCUCUUCUGUGUGCACCUGGCUAUGGGCGCCCGGUAGCCUCGUUGACCCUUACAGGUGGGCAGACCCUUAAAAUCAUGCAGGAAACUCCCUCCCACUGUUCCCCAUCCACUGCAUGUCAGACACACUGGGACGGUGACAUACCUGUGACCAGGUGACAGCGCCUUCCCCUGUGCCGAGAGAAGGUUCAGAGCCCACGGCCGAAGGUUAUUUAAUUACACGGAAGAACAUCCACGAGAAUUUGCCAAAUGGAAAGGCAGGUUGCAAAACAGUGUGUCUGCAUAAAAUUACACAUGAUCUCAGCUUUUUCUUUUUUUUUUUUUCUGUGCUUUUAUUUAUCUUUCAAGCUUUCCAUAUCGAGCAUGUGGCCUUUAAAAAAAAAAAAGUUACUUAGGAAAGAUUAUACGCUAGGAGACUCCCGCUCCUAGGGAUUUCUUCCUCUAAUAGUCCCAUGAGUACACAAAGGCACACGUAUCUGGAGAUUCAUCGCAGCAUUUCCUUUUUUUGUAUUAGCAAUAAACUGGAAACCACCUAAAUAUCCA